GGACAGAAAGACCCUAUGAAGCUUUACUGUAGCCUGGAAUUGAAUUUGGGUUUAAUUUGCGCAGUAUAGGUGGGAGGCAAAGAGUAUAUGUUCGUGGAUGUAUAUGAGCCAUUAGUGAGAUACCACUCUGAUUAAACUAGAAUUCUAAUAUUGAUUGCCAUAAGCUGGCCAAUAGACAGUUUCAGGUGGGCAGUUUGACUGGGGCGGUCGCCUCCUAAAAGGUAACGGAGGCGUGCAAAGGUUUCCUCAGGCUGGUCGGAAAUCAGUCGUAGAGUAUAAAGGCAUAAGGAAGCUUGACUGCGAGACCUACAAGUCGAGCAGAGACGAAAGUCGGCCUUAGUGAUCCGACAGUGCUGAGUGGAAAGGCUGUCGCUCAACGGAUAAAAGUUACCUCUAGGGAUAACAGGCUGA
This 411-nucleotide ribosomal RNA is filed under the name Gracilaria curtissiae. RNAcentral describes it as "bacterial LSU rRNA". It matches the Rfam family "Bacterial large subunit ribosomal RNA", at positions 2078 to 2485 of the family's 2925-position model. Lineage: Eukaryota; Rhodophyta; Florideophyceae; Gracilariales; Gracilariaceae. RNAcentral also lists the same sequence under 1 other name. The record is from RNAcentral.